AACGUAGGUCACAAGCGUUGUCCGGAAUUACUGGGUGUAAAGGGAGCGUAGACGGUAAAGCAAGUCUGAAGUGAAAGCCCGCGGCUCAACUGCGGGACUGCUUUGGAAACUGUUUAACUGGAGUGUCGGAGAGGUAAGUGGAAUUCCUAGUGUAGCGGUGAAAUGCGUAGAUAUAUGGAGGAACACCGGUGGCGAAAGCGGCUCUCUGGUCUGUAACUGACGCUGAGGCUCGAAAGCGUGGGGAGCGAACAGG
RNAcentral lists this ribosomal RNA (253 nucleotides) under [Clostridium] symbiosum. Its description in RNAcentral is "partial 16S ribosomal RNA". It matches the Rfam family "Bacterial small subunit ribosomal RNA", at positions 524 to 776 of the family's 1533-position model. The record is from RNAcentral. Lineage: Bacteria; Bacillati; Bacillota; Clostridia; Lachnospirales; Lachnospiraceae.